UAUUUCUGUUUUAUUUUUGCUUCAAAAAUCUUUCAUUCAAGGCUAAGUAAAGUGAAGAUGCAUCAUCGGCACUGGGACUUGUAUCGCGUAUGCCUUGCUAGCACCAGGAUGAACCCCUUUUUGCCUUCAGAACUGCUUUUACUCUGUAACAUAGAGUCAACAAGGCACUGGAAAGAUUGCUCAUCUAUGAUAAAAAUCUACCAUUCCACCACAUACCAAAGGUGCUCUAUAGACUGAGAUCUAGUAACUUUGGAGGUCAUGUGAGUAAAGUGAACUCAUUUUCAUGCUCAAGAAAACCAGUUUGAAAUUUGUGAUUUGAGCUGUGUGACAUGGCAUAGUAUCCUGCUGGCAGCAGACCUCAUAAGAUGGGUAAGACCGUGAUCCUGAAUGAUCCUGAAUGGACAUGGUCAGUAACUGUACUCAGGUUGGUUGUACCAUUUUAAACUGUGCUCAAUGGCACUCAAAGGCCAUGUCAUUAGAUACAAGGUGUCAUGUGAUACAUAAAACUGUAUAAAUGAAAAAGGUUGUACUGAAAAUGACUGUCUGGAAGAACAUUCUCUUUCUUGCAAGCAGAUUCUGAUCUUACACUGCAUGUUUAACCAGUCGGGUUAGAUUCUGGGUCAAUUGUUAUUCUCCUUUUACAAGUUUCCUUUAGCCGCUAUCAAUCUUUUUUGGGCCUUUUUAAAAAAAAAUUUAAAAAAAUCAUUUUUAUGCCAGUGACAUUCAACUGUACAGACUGUCGUUCCUAGUUUGCUGUGAUCAGACAGUCGAUUAACAUUUCUAAAUAAAGUAUCACACCAACUGCAAAGCA
Long non-coding RNA from Haplochromis burtoni (Burton's mouthbrooder), 811 nucleotides. RefSeq lists it as uncharacterized. NCBI's taxonomy places the organism in Eukaryota, Metazoa, Chordata, Actinopteri, Cichliformes, Cichlidae. The record is from RefSeq and is a predicted model, not a curated record. The transcript has 2 exons.